This 336-nucleotide ribosomal RNA is filed under the name Mesobuthus eupeus (lesser Asian scorpion). RNAcentral's name for it is "partial 16S ribosomal RNA". Lineage: Eukaryota; Metazoa; Arthropoda; Arachnida; Scorpiones; Buthidae. The record is from RNAcentral.
CUUUUGCGCCAAAGACGGGCUUUUCAUUCAACAUCGAGGUCAUCAACUCACUUGUCAAUUCGGUCUUUNAAAGUGAAUNCAGCUGUUAUCCCUCAAGUCACUUCUUCUUCCUUUNAAAAUUUUAGCUCUGUAAAACUUNUUAAGUCUUUUGAAUUCAAGCAAAGUUAUUUUCUCCUCCCGCCCCAGCAAAAUAUUUAUUUUCCUUCUCUGAAAGUAGUAAAUAUAAAGUUUUAUAGGGUCUUCUUGUCUUUAAGAGUUAUUUUAGCCUUCUUACUAAAAAGUCAACUUCACUUUUUAUCCCAAAAAAGUCUAUUCCGGUUUACCCCUUCAUUCCAG